UGUAAAUCUGUAUGGCUUUGUUUGUUGC
RNAcentral lists this small RNA (28 nucleotides) under Bombyx mori (domestic silkworm). RNAcentral's name for it is "ovarian small RNA-35292". The record is from RNAcentral. Lineage: Eukaryota; Metazoa; Arthropoda; Insecta; Lepidoptera; Bombycidae.